This 345-nucleotide unclassified non-coding RNA is filed under the name soil metagenome. RNAcentral's name for it is "partial contains 5.8S ribosomal RNA, internal transcribed spacer 2, and large subunit ribosomal RNA". The stretch from base 1 to 120 matches the Rfam family "5.8S ribosomal RNA", at positions 35 to 154 of the family's 154-position model. The record is from RNAcentral.
GAUGAAGAACGCAGUGAAAUGCGAUACGUAAUGUGAAUUGCAGAAUUCAGUGAAUCUUCGAGUCUUUGAACGCACAUUGCGCCCCCUGGUAUUCCGGGGGGCAUGCCUGUCCGAGCGUCAUUGCUGCCCUCAAGCACGGCUUGUGUGUUGGGCCUCCGUCCUCCUCCCGGGGGACGGGCCCGAAAGGCAGCGGCGGCACCGCGUCCGGUCCUCGAGCGUAUGGGGCUUCGUCACCCGCUCUUGUAGGCCCGGCCGGCGCUUGCCGACACAUCAAUCUUUUUUCCAGGUUGACCUCGGAUCAGGUAGGGAUACCCGCUGAACUUAAGCAUAUCAAUAAGCGGAGGA